This 69-nucleotide transfer RNA is filed under the name Gonodactylus chiragra. RNAcentral's name for it is "tRNA-Asn". Lineage: Eukaryota; Metazoa; Arthropoda; Malacostraca; Stomatopoda; Gonodactylidae. The record is from RNAcentral.
UUAACCAAAACCAAAAAGAGGUAUAUUAUUGUUAAUAAUAGAAUUGAAAAAAUAAUUUUUCUGGUUAAG